RNAcentral lists this ribosomal RNA (468 nucleotides) under uncultured bacterium. RNAcentral's name for it is "partial 16S ribosomal RNA". It matches the Rfam family "Bacterial small subunit ribosomal RNA", at positions 28 to 507 of the family's 1533-position model. The record is from RNAcentral.
GACGAACGCUGGCGGCGUGCUUAACACAUGCAAGUCGAACGGAAAGGCCCUGCUUUUGUGGGGUGCUCGAGUGGCGAACGGGUGAGUAACACGUGAGUAACCUGCCCUUGACUUUGGGAUAACUUCAGGAAACUGGGGCUAAUACCGGAUAGGAGCUCCUGCUGCAUGGUGGUGGUUGGACCGUUUCGGCGGUUGGGGAUGGACUCGCGGCUUAUCAGCUUGUUGGUGGGGUAGUGGCUUACCAAGGCUUUGACGGGUAGCCGGCCUGAGAGGGUGACCGGCCACAUUGGGACUGAGAUACGGCCCAGACUCCUACGGGAGGCAGCAGUGGGGAAUAUUGCACAAUGGGCGGAAGCCUGAUGCAGCAACGCCGCGUGCGGGAUGACGGCCUUCGGGUUGUAAACCGCUUUCGCCUGUGACGAAGCGUGAGUGACGGUAAUGGGUAAAGAAGCACCGGCUAACUACGUG